AACCUCCAAAGACUUAUUUUCAAGGAUGUCAGCAAGUAGCUGCAAUGAACCAAGAGGAUCAUCCUUAGAUAGAGGAAUUUUCUCCUGUGCAUGCGUCUGUUGUUACAUGGAAAAAUAAGAUAAGUUUUGACAUCAAUAACAUGUAAACUUUAAAAUGGAGAAGUGUAAAGUAGAAUUCCAUACCGAGGGGUCAAAAACUGAACCAACCAAUUGUUUA
RNAcentral lists this long non-coding RNA (217 nucleotides) under Vigna radiata. RNAcentral's name for it is "long non-coding RNA (VRAD_LNC006793)". The record is from RNAcentral. Lineage: Eukaryota; Viridiplantae; Streptophyta; Magnoliopsida; Fabales; Fabaceae.